UACCAUCCCCCGCCGCGGCCACUAUCCUCAACCGAAUACGGAAAAUAGUGAUGCACCCACGCAUUACAGCAGAGUACGCAAAAGGAUGCAAGCUAGGAAUCGACAAAGUAAACCACAUGCAGGAUGCUUAGAUAGAAAAUGUAAAAGGGUGUACAGAGUAAAAAAAAAGGAGGUCGGGAGGUACCAACUCCCGAUGAAAAAACAUGGAAGUAUGCUUUGAUUCGUCCGAGAUCAACUACUGCUAGCUCUUGCACACUUCCUCCGGUGUUGCUUUGCUCUUCGCAUCCAAAUGUCGUAAGCUCUCCUUGUCCGCCGUGGCUUUUACCUGAAAAUCACGCACAAAAAAAAGCGAAGGGGGCUGCCUAGCUCGGAAAAGGGGAAGGAGUUGCCUUACAGGGGGUCGCCUGAGAAUGGGGGUCGCCGGAGUUAGGGUUGAUAGGUGGGUAGGGGGUGAGGCUGGGUAGUGGAG
RNAcentral lists this long non-coding RNA (469 nucleotides) under Nicotiana benthamiana. Its description in RNAcentral is "long non-coding RNA (NBEN_LNC025779)". Lineage: Eukaryota; Viridiplantae; Streptophyta; Magnoliopsida; Solanales; Solanaceae. The record is from RNAcentral.